ACGCUGGCGGCAGGCCUAACACAUGCAAGUCGAGCGGUAGCACAGAGAGCUUGCUCUCGGGUGACGAGCGGCGGACGGGUGAGUAAUGUCUGGGAAACUGCCUGAUGGAGGGGGAUAACUACUGGAAACGGUAGCUAAUACCGCAUAACGUCGCAAGACCAAAGUGGGGGACCUUCGGGCCUCAUGCCAUCAGAUGUGCCCAGAUGGGAUUAGCUAGUAGGUGGGGUAAUGGCUCACCUAGGCGACGAUCCCUAGCUGGUCUGAGAGGAUGACCAGCCACACUGGAACUGAGACACGGUCCAGACUCCUACGGGAGGCAGCAGUGGGGAAUAUUGCACAAUGGGCGCAAGCCUGAUGCAGCCAUGCCGCGUGUGUGAAGAAGGCCUUCGGGUUGUAAAGCACUUUCAGCGGGGAGGAAGGCGGUGAGGUUAAUAACCUUGUCGAUUGACGUUACCCGCAGAAGAAGCACCGGCUAACUCCGUGCCAGCAGCCGCGGUAAUACGGAGGGUGCAAGCGUUAAUCGGAAUUACUGGGCGUAAAGCGCACGCAGGCGGUCUGUCAAGUCGGAUGUGAAAUCCCCGGGCUCAACCUGGGAACUGCAUUCGAAACUGGCAGGCUAGAGUCUUGUAGAGGGGGGUAGAAUUCCAGGUGUAGCGGUGAAAUGCGUAGAGAUCUGGAGGAAUACCGGUGGCGAAGGCGGCCCCCUGGACAAAGACUGACGCUCAGGUGCGAAAGCGUGGGGAGCAAACAGGAUUAGAUACCCUGGUAGUCCACGCCGUAAACGAUGUCGAUUUGGAGGUUGUGCCCUUGAGGCGUGGCUUCCGGAGCUAACGCGUUAAAUCGACCGCCUGGGGAGUACGGCCGCAAGGUUAAAACUCAAAUGAAUUGACGGGGGCCCGCACAAGCGGUGGAGCAUGUGGUUUAAUUCGAUGCAACGCGAAGAACCUUACCUGGUCUUGACAUCCACAGAACUUUCCAGAGAUGGAUUGGUGCCUUCGGGAACUGUGAGACAGGUGCUGCAUGGCUGUCGUCAGCUCGUGUUGUGAAAUGUUGGGUUAAGUCCCGCAACGAGCGCAACCCUUAUCCUUUGUUGCCAGCGGUUAGGCCGGGAACUCAAAGGAGACUGCCAGUGAUAAACUGGAGGAAGGUGGGGAUGACGUCAAGUCAUCAUGGCCCUUACGACCAGGGCUACACACGUGCUACAAUGGCAUAUACAAAGAGAAGCGACCUCGCGAGAGCAAGCGGACCUCAUAAAGUAUGUCGUAGUCCGGAUUGGAGUCUGCAACUCGACUCCAUGAAGUCGGAAUCGCUAGUAAUCGUAGAUCAGAAUGCUACGGUGAAUACGUUCCCGGGCCUUGUACACACCGCCCGUCACACCAUGGGAGUGGGUUGCAAAAGAAGUAGGUAGCUUAACCUUCGGGAGGGCGCUUACCACUUUGUGAUUCAUGACUGGG
RNAcentral lists this ribosomal RNA (1454 nucleotides) under Klebsiella sp. RNAcentral's name for it is "bacterial SSU rRNA". It matches the Rfam family "Bacterial small subunit ribosomal RNA". The record is from RNAcentral. Lineage: Bacteria; Pseudomonadati; Pseudomonadota; Gammaproteobacteria; Enterobacterales; Enterobacteriaceae.